GACGAACGCUGGCGGCGUGCUUAACACAUGCAAGUCGAACGGAAAGGCCCUGCUUUCAGGGUACUCGAGUGGCGAACGGGUGAGUAACACGCGGGUGAUCUGCCCUGCACUUCGGGAUAAGCUUGUGAAACUGGGUCUAAUACCGGAUAGGAACCAUCUUUAGUGUGGUGGUUGGAAAGUUUUUUCGGUGUAGGAUGAGCUCGCGGCCUAUCAGCUUGCUGGUGGGGUAAUGGCCUACCAAGGCGGCGACGGGUAGCCGGCCUGAGAGGGUGUACGGCCACAUUGGGACUGAGAUACGGCCCAGACUCCUACGGGAGGCAGCAGUGGGGAAUAUUGCACAAUGGGAGCAAGCCUGAGGCAGCGAAGCCGCGUGGGGGAUGAAGGCCUUCGGGUUGUAAACUCCUUUCGCUAGGGACGAAGCGUUGUUGUGACGGUACCUAGAUAAGAAGCACCGGCUAACUACGUG
Molecule: ribosomal RNA, 466 nt
Filed under: uncultured bacterium
Lineage: Bacteria
Description: partial 16S ribosomal RNA
Rfam family: Bacterial small subunit ribosomal RNA
Source: RNAcentral